UGCCCCAUGGCUGAGUUGGUUACAGCGUCCGACUGUUAAGUUAACACAUCGGAAGGUCGUGAGUUCGAGCCUCACUGGGGCAG
This is a non-coding RNA of Mucidula mucida, 83 nucleotides long. The record is from the annotation of a GenBank genome assembly. NCBI's taxonomy places the organism in Eukaryota, Fungi, Basidiomycota, Agaricomycetes, Agaricales, Physalacriaceae.